This 87-nucleotide transfer RNA is filed under the name Candidatus Nomurabacteria bacterium RIFCSPHIGHO2_01_FULL_39_9. RNAcentral describes it as "tRNA-Ser". It matches the Rfam family "tRNA". Rfam says of the family: Transfer RNA (tRNA) molecules are approximately 80 nucleotides in length. Lineage: Bacteria; Candidatus Nomuraibacteriota. The record is from RNAcentral.
GGAGGCGUCGCAUAGCGGUCUAGUGCACAGUCCUGGAAAGACUGAGUCUGGGAAACCGGACCGAGAGUUCGAAUCUCUCCGCCUCCG